UCCCUAGUGGCUCAGAUGGUAAAGUGUCUGUCUGCAAUGCAGGAGACCCGGGUUUGAUCCCUGGGUUGGGAG
This 72-nucleotide transfer RNA is filed under the name Bos taurus (domestic cattle). It matches the Rfam family "tRNA". From Rfam's summary of the family: Transfer RNA (tRNA) molecules are approximately 80 nucleotides in length. Their secondary structure includes four short double-helical elements and three loops (D, anti-codon, and T loops). Lineage: Eukaryota; Metazoa; Chordata; Mammalia; Artiodactyla; Bovidae. RNAcentral also lists the same sequence under 2 other names. The record is from Rfam by way of RNAcentral.